ACUGCCUCACUAAAAACCCUGAUGAGUUUUCCUCCUGUGCAGGAGGCAGAGUCGUUUCUCGCUUCUAAAAGUCGCGUCUUUUCACAGGUCCUGAUGGGAGCGGCGGCAAAAACCUGCAGGAUGCCGCAAAUAAUGAUGAUCCUAUUCCUCCUCAUCCUGCCUCAGUAUCAAGCUAAGAACGUGCAAUUUCAACCAAGCGACCCCAGAAUAGUCAACUUGGCAGAUAAAGUGGAUUUCCACUGCCGUCACAACGGCAGCGAUCUCAAUGUUAUGCUCUGGUACCAACAGACAGACACUGGUGCUUUGGAGCUGAUAGGAUAUAACUUCGUCGGGAGUGAAGCGGUCUAUGAGAAAGCCUUUGAAAGCAGGUUCAAGAUGACAAGAAGAGACAUGCUGACAGGAGCCUUGAACAUCGACAACGCCUCUGCCUCAGACUCCGCCGUGUAUUUCUGCGCCGGCAGUACACAGUGAUGUGGUUUACUGAAACCUCAUGACUAAAAGUCCUACUGGUUUCAAGCUUCAAGUUGGGUUGCCUUUGUCUGAUGAGUACCGAUUUCUAUUGCCAUUACAUAAGAAACACAGUUAAAAUCACACAAGAAUAAGUUUGCUCACGGCAUGAUGCUCAAUCUAUUACUGCUCCUCUUCGUGGUUUGCGCCAGUGACAACAUCCGGUUGUUGAUCAUGUGAUUUGUGAGGCAAAUUUUUACUUUUAUUUUUUGUGAAAUGAACCAAUUUCAAUUCGGCCAAAAAUAAUAAUGAUAAUAAAAAUUAAAAACCUACCUCAUCCCAGCGCCAAAAACUUUUGUCAAAAAAUAUGUUUUCUCCAAACUCCAAAUUGAGCAAACUAAUUUUCUACAUGCUGCACAGAAAAUGACUGAGGGAGGAAUUAUGUUUUCAUAUGAAAACAUAAUUGGCUUGAAUAGUUUAUAAUUCCUUUAGCGAAUCAAAUUGAACGUUCAAAACUGCACUUAUUUACAGAAUUUAUCUUUGGCUGAUGUGAAUGAUUGUCCGAUGGUCUGACAGGAAGCAAAAACAACAGAAAUCUGUGUCACAUUUCAUACAUCAAUAAAUUACAGACCAGUGUGAACUCCAAUUGGAUUAACAACCGGAUUGUUAAUCCAAUCCCUGGACUAGAAAUCCAGGAAUUGUUAAUGGUGACACUGACUGGCGACAUGUGGUCAUGUGACCUUCUUCUUCUCUUCUGAACAGAGCGGCUCUACCUCACUCAGCCCAGCGCUCCUCCUCAGACAACAUGCUGAUCACAGCUUUUUAUCUGUCUCUGCUUUUACACUUAAGUCUCACUGUUGACGUCCUCCAGCCUGCAGACGUCAUUUCUGACCAAGGAGACAACGUGGCGCUUGAGUGCCACAAAACAAGAACGACAUUAGAGAAGACGGACGAGUGUGGAGCGCACCAAAUAGCCGCGAGCUAUUCACAAUGUGAGGAUAAGUAAUACCAAGUGUCGACCCAGAAAUAGCAGCAGGCAGCUUGGAGCGGCUCCAGCGUCAAGUGGGCCCGACCUCCACAGCUGCUCCCACAGAGACUCACAGAUGGAGGCUGAGAUACAGAGAGGCUGGCUGGGGGGAGGGGAGAGACGGAGGAGGCAGGUUUUUGUGUGAUGCUUUUUCACCGUGGGGACAGGGGGCCACGGUGAUACAAUCCCAUAGAGCCGCCGUACAAAAACCUCCUGCCAUUAACAUCCAUCAUGUGGACGGCUGAGUGGAUCUCAGAGAGCAGCAGCGGGAAGCAGGUGGAGGUGGGCAGGGUGGAGGCUCAGCCAGGCCUUAAGAAACACUUUGAUAUGUAGAAAGUGAAGCAGAAACAGCUUUUAUUAGCAGAUGUUUGAGUUUACACAUGGAGCCAUUGGGUCGUGUGAUCCUCAGGGUCAGAAAUCACAACUUCUUUAAACCUGAUGAAGCUCAUCCUGCAGGUUUGACCUUCCUGAUGAUCUGGGCUUUUACAGCCAGUCUGAAGGAGAAGAUUCUGGAAAGUUUGGAGACUUUUUGGUCCAGGAGAGAUUCAGUGUGACACUGGAACUGAAGCUUACUUUGGAAAAGGAACCAAGCUCACAG
Molecule: long non-coding RNA, 2072 nt
Organism: Poeciliopsis prolifica (blackstripe livebearer)
Lineage: Eukaryota; Metazoa; Chordata; Actinopteri; Cyprinodontiformes; Poeciliidae
Exons: 5
Source: RefSeq, a predicted model, not a curated record